CCAAAAAAAAGAAUGUGUCAUGAAUGCCUUCUUUUUUCCAUUGCCAGUAAGGAAAGGGAGACAAAGUCCUGCUUCCCACAGGGAACAAAUGGUAAACUACAGAAGGAUCUCAGUAGUUAUAAGCUCAGUCUUCCUAAUCAACAGAUUUUGCACCCAAGGAAGCAUGGCAAGAUCUAUUUAGCUGGAAUGAGUAAAAGAAACUGGAAUAACUUAAAAAAAAAAAAAAAAAGAAAACCUCUCUCCUUACAGAGAAACUUGGUCUCUUUAUGCCUGGUUAAUUAAUAUCCUCACAAGCAUGAGAAGACCUUCCUACACUGACGUGUAAGAUUAUACAUUGUUACUGCCAAAUCCCUCAGGAGUAUUUCUUCAGUGACACCAAUGAAAUAAAAAUGUGGAGAGAUGUUCA
RNAcentral lists this long non-coding RNA (406 nucleotides) under Coturnix japonica (Japanese quail). RNAcentral's name for it is "lncRNA (ENSCJPG00005018384.1)". Lineage: Eukaryota; Metazoa; Chordata; Aves; Galliformes; Phasianidae. The record is from RNAcentral.